This 439-nucleotide long non-coding RNA is filed under the name Zostera marina. RNAcentral's name for it is "long non-coding RNA (ZMAR_LNC004341)". Lineage: Eukaryota; Viridiplantae; Streptophyta; Magnoliopsida; Alismatales; Zosteraceae. The record is from RNAcentral.
AAAAACAACGACUUACACGAAGUUCUGUCGACCAUGAAGAACCUUCUGCAAGUACUCAUGUUCCGACUGCAACUUCGACUCCAAGUACUUCAACUCCUCAAAUUCCAACUCCAACUCCUCAAGGUUCGAGUACUCCAACUCCAACUCCAAAUCAAAUUACAACUCCAACUCCUCAAGGUACGAGUACUUCAACUACUCAAGUACCAACAGCAAUGAGUGAAUCUAAUUCCGACUCCGACUCGGACCUCAGAGAUAAUGAUGGUAACUAACUAAUUAUAAUCGAUGUGUAUAUUAUAUAAUUGAUUGAUUUAUGUGUAUUUAUUGACUCAUUAUUUUUUAUUUUAGAAUUGAGUCUACCAAACAGAAGAGGUAGAAACUUAGAUCAUCCGGAAGAUCACCCCAAACAAGGUGAAAGAUAUAAAAUAGAAUGGGAGNNNNN